UUGGAGUAGGCAACCCCGAGAAAUCGAAAUCUGGAGAUUCAUAGUAAACUCCUUCCAAGAAGGGCACAAGAAGGUGUGGAUUGGUAACCAAAAGAGGAUGGUUACCUAAAGAAGGAACUGGAAACUUGUGUCUGUGAAGGAGAGCAAAGACAAGAGCUUUUAACCAAGUGGUUCCUGAUUUAGGAUUAGUGACGAGGAUAAUGUCGGAAUCUUUGGCUUCAAAGCGUUUUUGACAGAUCAAGAUUCCUUGUAAGAGAGCUUGUGUGUGCCAACGUCCUUGGAAUUGAUACAUUUCACUCACCAACCAACCUUUCUCUUUUGGAAGAGAAGAGAUCAUAUCUCUUGUUUCUUGUGUCAGCAGUUCAUCUCUCAGGUAAUCAGGAACUGAUGAUGAUGACGACAUUGUUAAGAGUUAUUGAUCAAUCUUGAGAAAAUGUUGUUUAAUUUAAAGUACGCGAUGUUUUGCUUAAGCUCUAUUGCAUAGGUUAAUGCUUGCGUGCUUUUAUACAUGUAUGAUAAGUUUGCUCUACAAGCAAAUAGGACAAUACUAUAAAUUUCCAAAGAUAGUAUUUUGAGUGGAGUGGUCAACAACACAUCAUUUACUUGAAGAGCACGUAGAAUAAAAUAUCCAAAGAGAACUAAUUAAAAAGAAAACGAAAGAAGAAGAAUCACGACUCUAAUAUAAUCUUGAAAACAACAUGACAUGACUUGCAAGUUGCAUGCAACUCGUGAUUUCAAAAUAUUGAUAUUUUUGUAUUCACAAUUUCAAAAUUUUCAAUCUUUAAAAACUGUUAAGGAAAACCAUAGGUAUUAAAUAUAACACUUUAUUUUGGAUUAAUUUGUUACUUUUUUGGAUAUAUCUAUAAACUUGUUUUGUAGAUGAUCGAGUUCAUUCAUAUGGACCCUAUUAGGAAUAUCCUUGUUUUAAAAAUUGCUAGGCGUUAGUCGGGCGGCCAAGGUGUGUCUAGCACGUAGCAAGAAAAUCGGUGAUUAAACAAGGAUUAAUCGGAGACUAGUUUUAGAGUUAUUUUAUUAAAUAAAUAAAAACAAUAAUUAUAUGGUGUUAAUUAUAUGUAUAGUUCGACUUCUAGUAAUAAAAAAACACAAAACUAUAAUAUUGGUUCCAAACUGUAGUAAAUAUAUCAAAAUCAUAAUUUUAAAGCCAAAUUUAUGUUUUCAUUAAAAUUUUGAAUAUAAAUUAUUGUAAAACAUCACAAAUUCUCAAUAUAAAUGUUUAAUAACCACAAAAAGUUAGACAGGAAUUAAUCAUUAAUCAAAGCGGAUAGGGUGGACAGAACGAUUACACAAGGAGUAAUCGGACGUAGGCGGGGAUUUUUUAAACCGGAGGAAUAUGUAUUGAGCUAUUUGAAAAAAAAAGCUUAGAAGAUAGAAUGUUGUUUUUUUCCUUCUUAAGUGUAUUAAGAAACCGGUUUAUAAGUUUUUACAUAUUUUAGUAAAAAUUACAUAAUUUGUUAUUGGUCUAAGAUAACUUGAAAAUUUAUCAUUAAAGGUAAAAAUGUAAAUUAAAUCUUUCUCCAAUAAAAUCUUUUAAAUAAUUAUUAGUUUCCACCAAAAAAAAAUCAAAUAUUGUGUAAACUUAUAAAAUAAUGGGCGUAGAUUCUAAGGCCUCCUUCAAGGAAGGUGAAGUUAGUGAUCGGAAGAAUCAUAUAGUAAACUAUGAACUAAGAAGGUUCCGGUUUGAGAAGUCAAUAAGUUGGUUAUUCAACCUUUUUCAAUCUUGAUUUCAAUGAGUUGGCCUUGCUGAUCACUUUCUUGAUAAACAAUGUGAUUAUAUCAACUUUUGCUUAUAAUAUCAUCGUCGUAAACUUAUAAUAACAUUUUAUUUUCCACAUAUAAAUUUAUGAAAAUAUAAAGUAACACUUUACAAGAUUGCCAUGUGCCCGUGUCAUAAACUCGAAUCUUAUUAUUCAAAAACACACACACAAUUCAUUUUAUUCAUACAAAAAACAACAAAAAAACAAAUUUGACACCAAACAACAAAAUACUCACAACACCAAAGAAGAACAAGUUCCAAAGAUUGGUUCAAGAAGAAAAUUUCAGACCAGAAUCUUGAAACUUGUCUUCAAUGGUUCUAUCAAUUUCUGCAGCCAAGGACUCACUCAACGUAUCUCUCCAUCCUCCAAUCUCUCCUUUUCUAAAGAAAGAUUUAGUCUCUAUUCCAUUUGGUAGUUUCCCUUCUCUGUUAACUUCCAAAUUACUUAAACUCUCAAAGCUACACAACUUCACAAUCUCCUCCACUUGUCCUUCUUCAAUAAAGCCACAUCCCAAGAACUCAGCGAUUCGCUUGAUCUCAACUCCCGUCUGCUUCUUAAGGUCCUCGUAUGUAACAAACAUGACCUUAUCCGGAUUCUCUCGGCUUGCGUACCAAUACUCCAAUAUAUGAUCCCAAAAGGGUCCACCUAUAAACUUCCCUUCACAAAACGCCUCAACCGCUUUUUCGAUAGGAUAAUCAGCGGUUUCCUUAGGAGCUAGCUUCUUGCCAAAGUGCCAUAAGGACACAAACAUGUCCUUAGGGUUCCUACAACAAUACACAAUCUUACAAGAAGAGCUCUUAACCGAUUCGGGGAGUGAAGGAUACGGUAUGUGCGUGUUCAUCAGUCUUGGAGUAGGCAACCCCAAGAAAUCGAAAUCUGGAGAUUCAUAGUAAACUCCUUCCAAGAAGGGCACAAGAAGGUGUGGAUUGGUAACCAAAAGAGGAUGGUUACCAGAAGAAGGAACUGGGAACUUGUGUCGGUUAAGGAGAGCAAAGACAAGAGCUUUUAACCAAGUGGUACCUGAUUUAGGAUUAGUGACGAGGAUAAUGUCGGAAUCUUUGGCUUCAAAGCGUUUUUGGCAGAGCAAGAGUCCUUGUAAGAUAGCUUGUGUGUACCAAUAUCCUUGGAAUUGACACACCUCACUCACUAACCAACCUUUCACUUUUGGAAGAGAAGAGAUCAGAUCUAUUGUUUCUUGUGUCAGGAGUUCAUCUCUCAAGUAAUCAACUGAUGUUGAUGACAUUGUUAAGAGAUCGAUUAAUCUUGAGAAAAAUGUUGGUGCAAGUAUCAAGUAUGAUAUGAUCUUAUUGCAACUAUGAGGGUAAAUGCUUGUGUGGUUUUAUAAUGCUUCAAAUUUCUCCAAAUAUAAUAUUUUGGGUGGAGUGGAUUGGAUUGAUCAACACUCAACAUAUCAUAUACUUGGAGAGCAAGUACAAUAAGAAAACAAAACAAAAUGAAAGAAGGAGAAUCACGACUCUAGCCUAUGAUAACAAAUAUAAAAAAUACAAAAAUCUAUUUUUAUAAUGUCUUACAUUUAUAUUAACUUGAAUAAAAAUGUACACAGUUUUUUUUUUUUUUUUUUUUUUGUUGACAGACCAGUUUGGACGGUUGGUCAAUCACAAUAAGUCAACAACCUUAUUUGUAUAGAUGAAGACUAAACCACCUAAAGACAUAAAUGGAGAAAUGAGUUCAACUAAAGCAGAUUCGUAGCAAAAGAAUCUAAACUUAGAAUUAGUUAGUUUUCUGCUCAGUGGUUUUAUCAAUUUCUAGGAGAGGGAAACUUUGUGAGAACUCUGGAGUUUGGCUAUCAGCGUAUAACGCUCAAUAGAGAUGUGAGUAUGUGACAAUAUCAUGAGGGGUUUGUGAGAGCAAAGGAUAAAUAUGGGAAGGUUUUCACGGUAUUUUAUCUCUCUAUAUAUGUACAACAGAGAACACUAGGGAUAUUUGAGCCAAGUGCUUCCACCUUUUGGGCAAACAAGCCAUGAUUAUAUCGAUAUCUCGUGGCUUGAAAUGUUUUUGGACGACAAGAACGGCUUGGAGAACUUUUGGACAGUACCAAAAACCUUUGUAGUUGUAGAGACCGUGGUAGCCCAUGAAAUCUUUGUCUCAAGAUAGAGAAGAGAUCAAGUUUUUUGGUUUGGUUUCACUUCGGAUAUUUAGGGACUAGUUUGAUCCAUCAUAAUAAGUCAACAACCUUAUUUGCAUUGAUGAAUAUUAAACCAACUAAAGUCUAAAUCAUACAUAAAUUGAGAAGAAAAAACAAGAAAGACUCAAUAAAUUGAGAAAUGACUUCAACUAAAGCAGAUUCUUAGCAAAAGAAUCUAAAAUCAGAACCAAUUAGCUUCUGCUCAGUGGUUUUAUCAAUUUCCUCUGCUAAUGAAGGAGUUAAAGUAUCAGUCCAUCCACCAAUCUCCCCUUUCCUAAAAAAUGCCUUAGUCUCCAUUCCAUUCACUAACUUGCCCUUCUCAUUAACCUUCAAUUUACUCAGAUUCUCAAGGCUACACAGCUUUAUGAUAUCUUCUAAAACUCCCUUCUCUAUCUCUUCCUCUGUCAAAGAGCAUCCCAAGAACUCAGCGAUCCGCAACACCCAAUCCUUAGGUUGUUCCCUCAUCUCUUCGUACAUAACAAACAUAACCUUUUCCGGGUUUUCUCGGCUCUCUUUCCAGUACUCUAAUGCAUGAUCCCAAAAGGGUCCAUAAACACUCGACCCUCUGCAAAACCCACUCACCAUUUCCUCCAUUGUGCAUCCAACCAUCUCUUCAAGAACCAAACUUUUCACGAAAUGCCAAAGCGAGACAAAUGCGUCCUUCGGGUUCCUGCAGCAAUACACAACUUUACAAGAAGAGUCCUUAACGGACUCAGGGAGUGACACCAGAGGGAUGUGUGUGGAGAAGAUACUCGGAGAAGCAUCUUGAUUGUGAAACUGGAAUCCUUCGAUAAAAGGCACGAGAGUAUGCGGGUUGUUAUCGAGAAGAGGAUGUGAUUCUUGAGGGUUUUGGAACUCAUGUCUGUGAAUCAGAGCAAAGACAAGAGCUUUCAACCAAGUUGU
RNAcentral lists this long non-coding RNA (4824 nucleotides) under Capsella rubella. RNAcentral's name for it is "long non-coding RNA (CRUB_LNC002439)". Lineage: Eukaryota; Viridiplantae; Streptophyta; Magnoliopsida; Brassicales; Brassicaceae. The record is from RNAcentral.